AGAGUUUGAUCCUGGCUCAGGAUGAACGCUGGCGGCGUGCCUAACACAUGCAAGUUGAGCGAUUUACUUCGGUAAAGAGCGGCGGACGGGUGAGUAACGCGUGGGUAACCUACCCUGUACACACGGAUAACAUACCGAAAGGUAUGCUAAUACGGGAUAAUAUAUUUGAGAGGCAUCUCUUGAAUAUCAAAGGUGAGCCAGUACAGGAUGGACCCGCGUCUGAUUAGCUAGUUGGUAAGGUAACGGCUUACCAAGGCGACGAUCAGUAGCCGACCUGAGAGGGUGAUCGGCCACAUUGGAACUGAGACACGGUCCAAACUCCUACGGGAGGCAGCAGUGGGGAAUAUUGCACAAUGGGCGAAAGCCUGAUGCAGCAACGCCGCGUGAGUGAUGAAGGCCUUCGGGUCGUAAAACUCUGUCCUCAAGGAAGAUAAUGACGGUACUUGAGGAGGAAGCCCCGGCUAACUACGUGCCAGCAGCCGCGGUAAUACGUAGGGGGCUAGCGUUAUCCGGAUUUACUGGGCGUAAAGGGUGCGUAGGCGGUCUUUCAAGUCAGGAGUGAAAGGCUACGGCUCAACCGUAGUAAGCUCUUGAAACUGGGAGACUUGAGUGCAGGAGAGGAGAGUGGAAUUCCUAGUGUAGCGGUGAAAUGCGUAGAUAUUAGGAGGAACACCAGUUGCGAAGGCGGCUCUCUGGACUGUAACUGACGCUGAGGCACGAAAGCGUGGGGAGCAAACAGGAUUAGAUACNCACCAUCCUCCACCAAAAAAAUGCGCGGAUGUGGCGGAAUUGGCAGACGCACUAGACUUAGGAUCUAGCGCCAUUGGCGUGGGGGUUCGACUCCCUUCAUCCGCACCAUUUUUGUUUGAUAUACAUAUAUAAAUUGUGGGUGCAUAGCUCAGCUGGAUAGAGCAACGCCCUUCUAAGGCGUGUGUCCGGGGUUCGAAUCCCUGUGCGCUCACCACAUAUAUUGGGGAUUAGCCAAGUCGGUAAGGCACAUGACUUUGACUCAUGUAUGCGUAGGUUCGAGUCCUGCAUCCCCAGCCAAAUGAUGUAUUACUAAGCUAUAUUUGAAUUAUUU
RNAcentral lists this ribosomal RNA (1081 nucleotides) under Clostridioides difficile. Its description in RNAcentral is "bacterial SSU rRNA". The stretch from base 2 to 822 matches the Rfam family "Bacterial small subunit ribosomal RNA", at positions 9 to 873 of the family's 1533-position model. Lineage: Bacteria; Bacillati; Bacillota; Clostridia; Peptostreptococcales; Peptostreptococcaceae. The record is from RNAcentral.